RNAcentral lists this unclassified non-coding RNA (139 nucleotides) under soil metagenome. Its description in RNAcentral is "partial internal transcribed spacer 1". The record is from RNAcentral.
CCUAGAGUUGUCGGCUUUGCCUGCCUAUCUCUUACCCAUGUCUUUUGAGCACCUUCGUUUCCUCGGCGGGUCCGCCCGCCGAUCAGGACACUUUAAACCACUUGCAGUUGCAAUCAGCGUGUGAAAAACUUAAUAGUUA